UGGGGUACAUCUCUGCCAGUGCUCCCUACCCAGUGCAGGGGGUUCCUGCAGUUGCAAGCACAGCUCUCCAAGCUGGUGAACCUUGUCCUGGAGCAGAGCUUCAGCUCUAGCAACCCAUGAAGUGCCCUCUGGCAAUGGUUGCCACUGUUUGAUUCCUUUCAUUUACAGGAUCUUUCGCUCUCAUGUUAAUAAAUGCAGCUCCCGGUGCUGAGCAGGAUGGAUUCUGAUGCUCCAGUCUGCAAAACCAACAGGGUCUCACAGAGUCAGCAUUGUGGAUCCUGGAAAAACAAGGAUAGUUUUAUUUGAUGGGCAUUAAUAAGGUUUAUUUCUGCACAGAUUUAACCCAGAGAUUGUCAUGAUCAUCUCAGGUCCCACGUGGCUUACAGGAUUGAACUUGAAGAAGCAUCAUUCAACAGCCGCUGGUGAUGGAGUGAUUCCAGGCCUGGGACUGCCUCCAGCCAACUGACUUCCCUUCCAUGGCACCAGAUUUGCAUUCAUUAAACCCAGAGUUUUAAUGAUUUAUGGAGAUUAAUACAAAAAUAGCGGCCCAGAGGUUCUGAUGCUCCCAAAGCUUCUGCAAGAGGUACAACACAUCAUAAAUCCACCCCCACGUGAAACACUGAAUGAAAAUCAUUGUGGAAGAGCUGCAAGUGUUAACAUGAGCCAUAAAAUCAGGGGUUUGGUCAAACUAAAAGGAUCAGAGCCUCCUAAGCCUGAGGAGAUAGAAACCCAUGUAAGAACAAUAUUAUAAUUACUAUAAUGUUAAUAAUAUGAUUACCACUGUUAGUUACUAUCACUGCCCUGAUAAUUCUCAGCUGUAAUGAUGGAUGGGGCAGAGAUGGCCCAGGAUAGAGAUGGCCCCAUCCUUUCAGAAACAACCUCUGUGCCACUACCAAGCCCCAGCCAAGCCAAAACCUUGUUCCUUUCAAUUCUGAAAGAGAAGCCACCAGCAGCAUCAGCUGCUGACAGAGCUCUGUAUCCAGACUGGCUGAGCUUGGUAGGUGAAGGAGCAAAAGGACAUGGUCUUGAGAUGAGAGACUGGCAGAGGUGAGGAAGAUUGAGGCCAGAUGCUGUCAAGGAAAACUGAUGUGCAUCUCCAGCAGUGCAGGGGACCGGGCUGUGUCUGUUCAUCUCCCCCCCAUCUCCCCUGGAGGUGCCUGUGGCUCACAGCAGGACAAGGACUACACUGGUGAGCACUUCUCCAAUUCUUCUGCAAUACGUUUCUCCCUUUCUUCCCAUUGCACCCUUCUCUUUUGCAGGUUUGCAGAGCCAGGAGAGGAACCGAGUGAGGCCCGACUUGAGUUCAUGCCAAGCCCCCAGUACCCUUGUGCUUAGGUCCCUGCCACCCUGCCCAUGUUCCCCUCUGUGCUCCCCAAACCUUGCCCGUCCUUUCCACCCCCUGCCUCCCCCAGCUUUCAUUGCAUCAUGCACGCUUCAUGCCUUUCUAUAGCUUUGGCAAAUGAAUGCAAAUGAAUUCCAGCUUCUCCUAUCCCUUAAAAUAGCUGCAAACAUCCAGGAUAAGCCUGGUCGGGGGAAGAUGCUGGGUUCUGGAGGAGCCACUCCUGCAGCAAGGUGUGCAUUGGCUCAUGCUGAGCCCCGGGGGCUUUAAAACUGGAGUUUAAAACAGCCUUGCCCCUGGGACAGACUCCUUUCAUUUACAAGUGAAUCAGCAGGGAUGGCAGGACUGAUUUGCCAUAUGCUGCCCAGCAUCUUCUAAAGAUUUCUGUAGGAGACAGAUUUCUUUCAGGUAACCACUAUCUUUUCUUGCUGCACUUUUCCCCUUGGACACAUUAUCAGUUACUAUUAGCUCGUGCAAAUCCAUAGGACAAGCUCCAUAUCUUUACAUCUCCCUCACCCAAGAGGAUGAGACAAAAAAAGUCACCAAAACUGAUGCAAAAGAAUCACUGUGCGCCUCUGAGGACAACCUCACCAAAGGCAGGAUGGACCAAAACGUAUUUGGAGAAGCGAGCAUAACUGAGGAGGAGGGAUGCAUCACCCUGAAGCUGGACACAUUGAUGAAUGCAGCUCGGCAUGGUUGAACAGGAAAUGUGGGGGGGUUCCCAGCUCAGAUGCUUCUGACGCACUGCUUCACCUUUGCCCAUUUAUUGUCCUUUCCACCCUGUUUAUUUAAAAUAGAAACACUUUGAAACAGGGCCUUACUCAUCAGUGGUGCUACAGCACCAGCCAAAAUAAUGCCCCAAACUUCAGCAUACAGGAAAAGAUUUAUCAUAAUAAAGUCACCUCAGUGUGUGUUCAUGGAGCAAAUGCUUCCUGCUUUUCCUGACCAUAGGAUGUCACAAAGAGCUCCUACACUUAAUUUUGCUUUAAAAACUUACUCAACAGCUCCCAGUUUAGCACAGUAAGUGAAAGCAAAACCUACCAGGAGCCCGUCCAACUGCAAAGGGCACAGCAAGGAUGGGACAAAAAGGCAGCACCUUCCAGCAGCAGCCUGGAACCACAGCCUGGGAUGCUCCUGCCCCUGCUCUCAAGUCCCUGUGGGUCCCUGAGCUCUGAAGCAGCUGUGGGAAUGACGCAGCACCACUGGCUCUGCACCAAGCAGGGAUGAGCACCGUGGGGCUUGGCUGGAGACCUCUG
Molecule: long non-coding RNA, 2595 nt
Organism: Pezoporus occidentalis (night parrot)
Lineage: Eukaryota; Metazoa; Chordata; Aves; Psittaciformes; Psittacidae
Exons: 3
Source: RefSeq, a predicted model, not a curated record